RNAcentral lists this unclassified non-coding RNA (391 nucleotides) under soil metagenome. RNAcentral's name for it is "partial contains 5.8S ribosomal RNA, internal transcribed spacer 2, and large subunit ribosomal RNA". The stretch from base 1 to 122 matches the Rfam family "5.8S ribosomal RNA", at positions 35 to 154 of the family's 154-position model. The record is from RNAcentral.
GAUGAAGAACGCAGCGAAAUGCGAUACUUGGUGUGAAUUGCAGAAUCCCGUGAACCAUCGAGUCUUUGAACGCAAGUUGCGCCCGAAGCCACUAGGCCGAGGGCACGCCUGCCUGGGCGUCACACGCCGUUGCCCCCCCAUCUACUCCUUCGGGAUUGCGGGGGGGCGGAUGAUGGCCUCCCGUGCGCCUAGCCGCGCGGUUGGCAUAAAUACCAAGUCCUCGGCGACGCACGCCACGACAAUCGGUGGUUGCGAACCCUCGGUUGCCCGUCGUGUGCGUUCGUCGCGCAUCGAGGGCUCGAAAAAAUGCUCGGCUCCGGCUGGGCUUUCAACGCGACCCCAGGUCAGGCGGGGUUACCCGCUGAAUUUAAGCAUAUCAAUAAGCGGAGGA